AAGUGUGUAAUAAGUACUGCUAAUACUUAAAACCAGUAAUA
RNAcentral lists this transfer RNA (41 nucleotides) under Proctoporus cf. bolivianus Ca3. RNAcentral describes it as "partial tRNA-Ser". Lineage: Eukaryota; Metazoa; Chordata; Lepidosauria; Squamata; Gymnophthalmidae. The record is from RNAcentral.